UACGUAGGGUGCGAGCGUUAAUCGGAAUUACUGGGCGUAAAGUGUGCGCAGGCGGCCGCGCAAGUCGAGUGUGAAAUCCCCGAGCUUAACUUGGGAAUUGCGCUCGAAACUACGUGGCUCGAGUGUGGCAGAGGAAGGUGGAAUUCCACGUGUAGCGGUGAAAUGCGUAGAGAUGUGGAGGAACACCGAUGGCGAAGGCAGCCUUCUGGGCCAGCACUGACGCUCAGGCACGAAAGCGUGGGGAGCAAACAGG
Molecule: ribosomal RNA, 253 nt
Filed under: uncultured bacterium
Lineage: Bacteria
Description: partial 16S ribosomal RNA
Rfam family: Bacterial small subunit ribosomal RNA
Source: RNAcentral